UCUUCCUUGAUUCAAUACGAAUUUGGUGACAGAUUGGAGCUCAUAUUUUGCCUUUUCAUAUCAAAUCUAAAUUUGAAGAAAAGAAUUGGUGAAUUAUUGGAGAUGCCCUUUACAGAUAGAUAUGAGUUCAAAGAACUUGUUCAGUAUCAGAAUUCAGAGAGAGAGAUUGAAUUUCACUCCCGAUUUGAGCGAUCCAUUGUAAACGCAUCGUUGCGAGAGAGGAGAGAGAGGCUCACUCUUGAAGGAGGUUGAUUAAGAAGGCGCA
This 265-nucleotide long non-coding RNA is filed under the name Actinidia chinensis (golden kiwifruit). RNAcentral describes it as "long non-coding RNA (ACHI_LNC002464)". The record is from RNAcentral. Lineage: Eukaryota; Viridiplantae; Streptophyta; Magnoliopsida; Ericales; Actinidiaceae.